This is a non-coding RNA of Podarcis lilfordi (Lilford's wall lizard), 5390 nucleotides long. NCBI's taxonomy places the organism in Eukaryota, Metazoa, Chordata, Lepidosauria, Squamata, Lacertidae. The record is from the annotation of a GenBank genome assembly.
CCCUUUUCUAUUUCCAGCAGGACACACCUGGCAAUGGAUGUGACAUUCAGCACUGCCCAGGUUUCUUCCACUUGGAGGAGGCAACCUGGUGAAUGGAAGGAGGCAAUCCUCUGGCAGUGGGAUGCUAGGGAGCAAUAAUAAGGCAAGUUGGCUUGCUUGAAGGCUGCUGGUAUCUGUGAUUAGAAGGUGGCAGACGUCUCAUGAUGGACCUAACAGUAGCUUCUGGACAGCUUUCCAGGUCAUGUGGCCAGCAGGACUAAACCACUUCUGGAGCAAUGGAACACCGUGACGGAAACCAGAGCGCAUGGAAAUGCCGUUUCCCUUCCCGCCACAGUGGUACCUAUUUAUCUACUUGCACUGGCUUGCUUUCCAACUGCUAGGUUGGCAGGAGCUGGGACAGAGCAACGGGAGCUCACCCUGUUGCGGGGAUUCAAACCUCCGACCUUCCGAUUGGCAAGCCCAAGAGGUUCAGUCGUUUAGACCACAGUGCCACCCGCAUCCUGUGCCAAAAGUUUGCAGGAAAAUGGGAUGCUCAUGAAUAAUAAAUAUCAAGAUGAAGGUCUACCAGAUCACUGCAAAUGUCUGCAAAUUUGACAUGAAGGCUGUCAGGUUGUGUAUCCAUCGCAGUGAUCAGAGGAAAAAUUACUGCUGGGAGGAGAACAGAGAGAAGAAAUGCAAUAGUGCAUCUGCAGCAGGACAACCAGACGUCUUUAUCUGCCCCAGCUGCAACUAAACAUCUCUCCCCCAUAUUGGUCUCUACAGCCACAGAAGAUGCUGCAACCUUCCAACAGUCUGACUUCACCCCAAAGAUUCACUUCCUCAUUGUCUCUCGACGCUGAUAGAUGCCAACAAGAAGAUCUUGGAAAAGAGGAGGUGGGGAUCUGUCAAUCUCACUCUAUUCAGGGGUCACCAAUGUGAAUCCUAUGGGCACUCAUAUGCCUGCAGAGGCCUUCCUUUGAACCUGAAAAAUCUUCCCAUGGCUCAAGUUUGAUCUGAAGGAAGAAUUCUGUUGUAGCCAACAGAAUAAGUUGUGGUGUGUGUUUCAUUGUGGAGAACUAUAAUAUCGAGUUCAUCACUUUGUGAAUGCUACUGAUGUGGCCUACAAAACAGAAGGAAGCCAUGCUUAAAUGGAACACACAUUCUUCUAGUCAAUGUAGUGUGUUUUUUCAUUCAAUUUACAGAUGCGGGAAAUGCAAAAACCAAUUUGAGAGCCACUUGUGAAAAUAGCAUAAAUGUUUAUAGAUCUAAUUCACAUUUCACAACCUAUAAAAAGAGCUGCAUAACUACCUCUGAGAUAUUAAAGGCUUUCUACCCUUUGCGAUAUGUUUCUGGCAAAACACAGCAAUAAGUAUAUUGAUUUCUGGCUUUCCGAGUUGAGACCUAAUGAUGAAUUCUGAUUAGACUCCGUGAUUAUGUUUAUUGCUGUUGUCUAGGGGAAACAGAAAGAAGAGAAAGUUUGCUGAAGGAUUCUAAGGACAAUGCCUUGAUUGCCACUUUUAUGAGGGUGCUUCUAAUUUGAUUGGUUUUCCCUUUAAUUUUAAUGAAGAAAAUGUAACUAUCUGUGACCGAAUUGAUCAUUAGGCACCCACAUACUGGUAGUGUAUCAUUAAGAUAUUCUAAUUACAUUUUACAUUGUGAAGACAGGUUACUCUAAAGCAAGAGUGGGCAAUCUUUUUUCUUUCAGGGCCCCAUUUUCUUCAAGUCAACGGCUGCAAGCCAGUAGUGGCUGGGGUCGGAGCCAGCAGGUAGAAGCACAAUUGGGCAGUGUUCACACUUCCAUUUUCUGUGCACUCCCUGUGUUUCUGGGUUUUUAAGCUGUGUUCAUACAACGUGUCAGGGAACUGACAUCGGAGCGAGAGGCGAAGGGGAGGCUCCUAGAUGAUGCUGGCGAAGGACCCAGCAGCAGGGGGAGAAACAGCUCAGUAGAGGGGGAAACAAAUCAGCACAACACCAGGGAUAAAGGGGGGCAGAUGGGGGAAUCGGAGAGAGGGCUCCAGGACUCUUCACUGGACCUCAGUGAGGAGGGGACAGGUCCUCCGCUACCCACGCCCUCCCUGCGCAGAAGACCCCCGCGCAGUGAGAGGAGGAGGAGACUGGGUGUCAAACAACUUUUGUGUUGGAAGAGGUUCAAGAAACGCCCACUGACGGAUUCUGCCAGCGACUGAGGCAGCCACGAUGAGAAAGGGCUGUGCAGUCAGAAAGGUUUAACAAGGCUAAUUAGCCUAGAGAGGCACCAGUUUACGCACGAGUAACUCAUACCCACUACAGCAAUCCGUCAGUCCCUGAAAGUUGCUCGUGCGCAGCAGCAGGCAGGCAGCAUCAUGAGCAAAACCGUGAAGCGAGCGCCCAGGAGGGAGCAGCUGGAGGGCAAACUCUGGUGGAGAGGAACCGAGAGUUGGAGCAGCAUGUGGCCAUUCUGACGGCACGGCUGGACGAAAGGCGGUCUCAAGAUGCACAGGUCAGGCCCACCCCCAUAGCAAGGAAGGUACCGGGACUGGUGCACAAAUUUGGAGGGAAGCUGCAGGACUAUAGUGCGUUCCGAACGGAAAUAGAGUACGCAUUGGAACUGCAGCAUGACGAUUUUGGAGACGAUGCGGCGUGGGUGGCAUAUAUUGUGGGUCACCUGCAAGAUGGGGCCAGGGAAUGGAUCAGGCCCCUUAUGGCGACGCAGAAUGCCGCCAUGCAGGACCUGAGGAAAUUCUUCCAGGCAAUGGACGCAAUGUUUUCCAGUGAUGUACAACAAAGUGUCACUAAGCGGGAACUGAUGAGCUGUAAACAGGGGAACCAGUCAGAGACUACUGGUCGCGCUUUGCCAUGAUAGUUCACCGCCUCGGGUGGCAACUGGACUCUGAACCCAUACAAAUGUUAUUUGAGGAGGGGUUGUCCCCAACGGUUAAGGAUGAGCUUUCCCGCGCACCCCACCCACAGGGGAUGGAUCAGCUGACCAAGGCUGUGCUUGCGAUUGGGGUGCGGCAGGAAGCACGGGCCCAGGAGAGGCGGGAAGGGAGAGAGCCACCCUGGCUUCUUUAGGCACCUUCCAUGUUUCCGUCUCAUUGGUAUUGCCUGAAGUUGUGCUUUUACUAUCUCCCUCUUAACAAACUCCCAGCCAUCAUGAACUCCCUUUCAUUUUAGUAUUACUGUCCAUGGGAUCUCACCCAGCACUUCCCUAAGUUUUAUGAAAUCGGCUUUUUUAAAGUCAAGAAAUUGAGUCCUGGUAUGCUUGGCUGCUCCUUUCCGCUGUAUAGUAAACUUCAGAAGAGCAUGAUCACUCGCACCUAAUGAUCCUUCCACUUCUACCCCACUAACCAGGUCAUCAACAUUGGUUAGGACCAGAUCUAAAAUGGCUGUUCCUCUUGUUGCUUCUCCCACUUUCUGGACAAUGAAGUUGUCUGCAAGGCCAGUGAGGAAUCUGUUUGACCUUAUGCUCUUGGCUGAGUUUGACAUCCAACAAAUAUCCGGGUAAUUGAAGUCCCCCAUUACUAUUAUCUCCUUCCUUUUGCAUGCUGGGCCAUCUGGUCCAGGAAGGCAUCAUCUAUGUCCUCCGUUUGGCUUGGGGAUCUAUAGUAAACUCCCACAAUGAGGUCACUGUUAUUCUUCUCUCCCUUAAUUUUGACCCAAAUGCUCUCACUUUGGCUUUGAGGUUCUAAAUCUUGGAUCUCUUCACAUGUAUACAUAUCCCUGACAUAUAACGCCACUCCUCCUCCUUUCUUGUCUGGUCUGUUUCUCUGAAAUAGAUUGUAUCCCUCCAUUAUUACAUUCCAAUGGUGGGACUUAUCCCACCAGGUUUCAGUGAUGCCUAUUAUGUCAUAUUUAGUUUGCUGUACCAAGAGCUCAAGCUCAUCUUGUUUAUUUCCCAUGCUUUGCGCAUUAGUGUACAGACACUGAAGUCCAUUAAUCAUAUCCCCGUGACUCUUAUUUAAGGAUUUUUUCCUCCCACCACUAGGUCUGCGUGCUGUUUGCUCCAUUUGGUCUAUGACAUUUGGAUGAUCAUCUUCAUCAAUUGAUAGACUCCUACCUUCAGGAGCACUGUCUAUUUCUGGGUUAGCGGAGUCUGUAACCUGAAGCGUCUGUAACCUGAGGUACCACUGUACUGCUGUUAAGGAGCAUUCUCUUCAGUACAUGAUGUGGAUAGGCUGAUGUCAGGGAAUGGCCUGGACAGGAGAGCUGGGAAAGGUCCUCUCAGUCUGCUCAGCUCCUCUCAGAAGAAGAGGAGGAUUGGGAAGUUUUGCCCCCCCAUGUCUCCAGCGGUUUCAGAAGAGUAAGGAGACAGGGCUGCUUCACAGCUGCGUGAAGAAAUGCUUAGUUAUGAGAUAGUGGAAGAGAGGGAGGGAGGAGUUAAUGAACAGCCAACCUCGCUGGGACCUCUGGAAUGAGACCUCGCUAGGAAGUCUGGAAGAUCAUCAUUCACCAAGGGCUUUUAGGUCCCUAUGUAUUCAAGAACAAAGGAUGGGAAGGAGUAAGACUCCUGGGACUUCCCAUAAACUUUCAGGAUGUUGUUGUGGAUGGAAGAGGAGAGGCUCAGAAUAGCCAAUGUCUCAGAAACAACAAGAAGUACCAACAAAAGAAGAGUGGCAGAUGAUGAUGGACUUUGCAGAAUUGGCGAAGCUGACAGGAAAAAUCCAAAACAAGCAUGAUCAAGUAUUCCAAAAGGACCGGAAUAAAUUUAUACAAUAUUUGAAAGAUUAUUGUAAGUAAUUAUCAUGACUAGCAGGGUUACCAGAAGACUUGUAAUGAGAAGUUUUCUUUGUUGUUUAGUUGUUUAGUUGUGUCCGAGUCUUCGUGACCCCAUGGACCAGAGUACUCCUGUCUUCCACUGCCUCCCACAGUUUGGUCAAACUCAUGUUGGUAGCUUCGAGAACACUGUCCAACCAUCUCGUCCUCUGUCGUCCCCUUCUCCUUGUGCCCUCAAUCUUUCCCAUCUUUUCCAAGUUUUCUACCUUUCUAUAUUUAUUUAAAUUUUGAGCUAUUUUGUAAUGAGUGUAAUUGGAAUUGGAAAACGUACAAAAUGCAAUAAUAUAAAGGUUAAUUUUGAAAGUCGUGAGACAGGAGGGAAGGAAGUCGAUAUGCUUUAAAGAGUCAGGGAGGUAAAGUGGAGGAUAAUAAUGAAGUGAAUAUAUAUUAUUAAAUGGAAAAUAAAUAAAGUAGCCAAUGUCUCUUUUUGUGUGGAGACAUGGAUUCUUUGUCUUGUAACCAGAUGCCUGAACCAAAAGACUAUAAACUGAACUGCUUCUUUUUCUUGCGUCUGAUGCUACAGGGGUGGAGAGGAUUCUCUAUGCCUGACAGCUGCUGUGUGAGUGGUCCUUUCUGUUCUGAAGACCCCCUCUAAAUCUUCUUUGGAGGGACCCCUGACCCUAUGGAACAGAUCUGAGGCACUUGUAGGAAGUACAGGG